UAGGGAAUCUUCGGCAAUGGACGAAAGUCUGACCGAGCAACGCUGCGUGAGUGAAGAAGGUUUUCGGAUCGUAAAACUCUGUUGUUAGAGAAGAACAAGGACGUUAGUAACUGAACGUCCCCUGACGGUAUCUAACUAGAAAGCUACGGCUAACUACGUGCCAUUAGCCGCUGUAAUACGUAGGUGGCAAGCGUUGUCCGGCUUUAUUGGGCGUAAAGCAGGCGCAGGCGGUUUCUUAAGUCUGAUGUGAAAGCCCCCGGCUCAACCGGGGAGGGCCAUUAGAAACUGCGAUACAUGAGUGCAGAAGAGGGGAGUAUAAUUCCGUGUGUAGCGGUGAACUGCGUAGAUAUAUGGAGGAACACCAGUGGCUAAGGCGGCUCUCUGGUCUGUAACUGCCGCUGAGGCUCGAAGGCGUGGGGAGCAAACAGG
Molecule: ribosomal RNA, 429 nt
Filed under: Gemmatimonadota bacterium
Lineage: Bacteria; Pseudomonadati; Gemmatimonadota
Description: Gemmatimonadetes bacterium partial 16S ribosomal RNA
Rfam family: Bacterial small subunit ribosomal RNA
Source: RNAcentral